AGAGUUUGAUCCUGGCUCAGAUUGAACGCUGGCGGCAUGCCUUACACAUGCAAGUCGAACGGCAGCACGGGAGCAAUCCUGGUGGCGAGUGGCGAACGGGUGAGUAAUGUAUCGGAACGUGCCCAGUCGUGGGGGAUAACGCAGCGAAAGCUGUGCUAAUACCGCAUACGAUCUAUGGAUGAAAGCGGGGGAUCGCAAGACCUCGCGCGAUUGGAGCGGCCGAUAUCAGAUUAGGUAGUUGGUGGGGUAAAGGCCCACCAAGCCGACGAUCUGUAGCUGGUCUGAGAGGACGACCAGCCACACUGGAACUGAGACACGGUCCAGACUCCUACGGGAGGCAGCAGUGGGGAAUUUUGGACAAUGGGCGCAAGCCUGAUCCAGCAAUGCCGCGUGCAGGAUGAAGGCCUUCGGGUUGUAAACUGCUUUUGUACGGAACGAAACGGCGAGCUCUAAUAAAGCUUGCUAAUGACGGUACCGUAAGAAUAAGCACCGGCUAACUACGUGCCAGCAGCCGCGGUAAUACGUAGGGUGCAAGCGUUAAUCGGAAUUACUGGGCGUAAAGCGUGCGCAGGCGGUUAUAUAAGACAGAUGUGAAAUCCCCGGGCUCAACCUGGGACCUGCAUUUGUGACUGUAUAGCUAGAGUACGGUAGAGGGGGAUGGAAUUCCGCGUGUAGCAGUGAAAUGCGUAGAUAUGCGGAGGAACACCGAUGGCGAAGGCAAUCCCCUGGACCUGUACUGACGCUCAUGCACGAAAGCGUGGGGAGCAAACAGGAUUAGAUACCCUGGUAGUC
RNAcentral lists this ribosomal RNA (792 nucleotides) under uncultured bacterium. RNAcentral describes it as "bacterial SSU rRNA". It matches the Rfam family "Bacterial small subunit ribosomal RNA", at positions 8 to 795 of the family's 1533-position model. The record is from RNAcentral.